GGCUUAGCUCAGUUGGUAGAGCACCUGAUUUGUAAUCAGGGGGUCGGGAGUUCGAGUCUCUCAGCCGG
RNAcentral lists this transfer RNA (68 nucleotides) under marine eukaryotic metagenome. It matches the Rfam family "tRNA". Rfam says of the family: Transfer RNA (tRNA) molecules are approximately 80 nucleotides in length. The record is from RNAcentral.